RNAcentral lists this ribosomal RNA (280 nucleotides) under uncultured bacterium. RNAcentral describes it as "partial 16S ribosomal RNA". It matches the Rfam family "Bacterial small subunit ribosomal RNA", at positions 524 to 794 of the family's 1533-position model. The record is from RNAcentral.
UACGGAGGAUCCAAGCGUUAUCCGGAAUCAUUGGGUUUAAAGGGUCCGUAGGCGGCCUUAGUAAGUCAGUGGUGAAAGCCCCAUCGCUCAACGAUGGAACGUGCCAUUGAUACUGUAAGGCUUGAAUAUUGUGAAGUAACUUAGAAUAUGUAGUGUAGCGGUGAAAUGCUUAGAUAUUACAUGGUAAUAACCAAUUUGCGAAGGACAGGUUACUAACAAUGGAUUGACGCUGAUGGACGAAAGACGUGGGGAGCGAACAGGAUUAGAUACCCCGUGUAGU